RNAcentral lists this ribosomal RNA (253 nucleotides) under uncultured bacterium. RNAcentral describes it as "partial 16S ribosomal RNA". It matches the Rfam family "Bacterial small subunit ribosomal RNA", at positions 524 to 776 of the family's 1533-position model. The record is from RNAcentral.
UACAGAGGUCCCAAGCGUUGUUCGGAUUCAUUGGGCGUAAAGGGUGCGUAGGCGGCGCGGUAAGUCGGGUGUGAAAUCUCGGAGCUUAACUCCGAAACUGCAUUCGAUACUGCCGUGCUUGAGGACUGGAGAGGAGACUGGAAUUUACGGUGUAGCGGUGAAAUGCGUAGAUAUCAUAAGGAAGACCAGUGGCGAAGGCGGGUCUCUGGACAGUUCCUGACGCUGAGGCAUGAAGGCCAGGGGAGCAAACGGG